UCGCUAAAGCAACGCAUAUACUGAAAUUGCAAUGAUACAGAGAAGAUUGGUAUAGCCCCUAUGCAAGGAUGACAUGCAAAUUCCGGAAGCAUCCCAUACUAAC
Suncus etruscus (white-toothed pygmy shrew) is the source of this 103-nucleotide small nuclear RNA. The record is from RefSeq and is a predicted model, not a curated record. Lineage: Eukaryota; Metazoa; Chordata; Mammalia; Eulipotyphla; Soricidae.